GGGAAUGUGGCUCAGUGGUAGAGUGUUUGCCUAACAUGCACGAAGCCCUGGGUUCAAUUCCUCAGUACCA
This 70-nucleotide transfer RNA is filed under the name Dipodomys ordii (Ord's kangaroo rat). It matches the Rfam family "tRNA". From Rfam's summary of the family: Transfer RNA (tRNA) molecules are approximately 80 nucleotides in length. Their secondary structure includes four short double-helical elements and three loops (D, anti-codon, and T loops). Further hydrogen bonds mediate the characteristic L-shaped molecular structure. tRNAs have two regions of fundamental functional importance: the anti-codon, which is responsible for specific mRNA codon recognition, and the 3' end, to which the tRNAs corresponding amino acid is attached (by aminoacyl-tRNA synthetases). tRNAs cope with the degeneracy of the genetic code in two manners: having more than one tRNA (with a specific anti-codon) for a particular amino acid; and 'wobble' base-pairing, i.e. permitting non-standard base-pairing at the 3rd anti-codon position. The record is from Rfam by way of RNAcentral. Lineage: Eukaryota; Metazoa; Chordata; Mammalia; Rodentia; Heteromyidae.